CCUACGGGCGGCUGCAGUGGGGAAUAUUGGACAAUGGGCGAAAGCCUGAUCCAGCCAUGCCGCGUGUGUGAAGAAGGCCUUCGGGUUGUAAAGCACUUUCAGUGGGGAAGAAAGCCUUGGGGCUAAUACCCUCGAGGAAGGACAUCACCCACAGAAGAAGCACCGGCUAACUCCGUGCCAGCAGCCGCGGUAAUACGGAGGGUGCGAGCGUUAAUCGGAAUUACUGGGCGUAAAGCGAGCGUAGGCGGUCUGAUAAGCCGGUUGUGAAAGCCCCGGGCUCAACCUGGGAACGGCAUCCGGAACUGUCAGGCUAGAGUGCAGGAGAGGAAGGUAGAAUUCCCGGUGUAGCGGUGAAAUGCGUAGAGAUCGGGAGGAAUACCAGUGGCGAAGGCGGCCUUCUGGACUGACACUGACGCUGAGGUGCGAAAGCGUGGGUAGCAAACAGGAUUAGAUACCCUUGUAGUC
Molecule: ribosomal RNA, 465 nt
Filed under: Vreelandella stevensii
Lineage: Bacteria; Pseudomonadati; Pseudomonadota; Gammaproteobacteria; Oceanospirillales; Halomonadaceae
Description: partial 16S ribosomal RNA
Rfam family: Bacterial small subunit ribosomal RNA
Source: RNAcentral